GAUGAACGCUGGCGGCGUGCCUAAUACAUGCAAGUCGAACGAACAGACGAUAAUCUUGCUUUUCUGAUGUUAGCGGCGGACGUGUGAGUAACACGUGGAUAACCUACCUAUCAGACUGGGAUAACUACGGGAAACCGGAUCUAAUACCGUAUAAUAUUUUGAACCGCAUGGUUCAAAAGUGAAAGACGGUCUUUCUGGCACUUAUAGAUGGAUCCGCGCUGCAUUAGCUAGUAGGUAAGGUAAAGGCUUACCAAGGCAACGAUGCAUAGCCGACCUGAGAGGGUGAUCGGCCACACUGGAACUGAGACACGGUCCAGACUCCUACGGGAGGCAGCAGUAGGGAAUCUUACGCAAUGGGCGAAAGCCUGACGGAGCAACGCCGCGUGAGUGAUGAAGGUCUUCGGAUCGUAAAACUCUGUUAUUAGGGAAGAACAUAUGUGUAAGUAACUGUGCACAUCUUGACGGUACCUAAUCAGAAAGCCACGGCUAACUACGUG
RNAcentral lists this ribosomal RNA (497 nucleotides) under uncultured bacterium. RNAcentral's name for it is "partial 16S ribosomal RNA". It matches the Rfam family "Bacterial small subunit ribosomal RNA", at positions 28 to 507 of the family's 1533-position model. The record is from RNAcentral.